Molecule: long non-coding RNA, 714 nt
Organism: Spea bombifrons (plains spadefoot toad)
Lineage: Eukaryota; Metazoa; Chordata; Amphibia; Anura; Pelobatidae
Exons: 4
Source: RefSeq, a predicted model, not a curated record
UGAAAACCCACCAGCAAGAAAAUAACGCUGAACGUUUCUCAGAGAGCAAAAGGGAGAAGCUGAGGUUAAUUCUUCUACAUCUCGAAAGCUCCGUUCAAAGCCAAAUCCAAUAUUCAGCAAGCAGCUUAUGUUUAUGCAACCAGUCCGAAGCUCCUUCUGCGCAGGAAAUAGAAGCCCCCCCCCGUUACGUUUCUUCUGUAAUUACAAGUGUAUAAAAAAUAAAAUCCAAAUAAUUACAGGUUGCCUCUUGGCUCCUAGUUUUGUGUUUCAAUGAGUGCUAUGGUAACAGGCGAUGUGAAAUUAUUAUUAUUAUUAUUGUUCUAUUGUUGCAAAGUUCGACACACUUAGGGGCCUAUUCACUAAAGCAAGAGUUUGCGUGUGAGCUGCAGGGACCAGACACCUUUCAACUAACUUCACUUUGCAACAUGAAGGGCCAACCCAACGCUUGCCCUGUGUAAGCCGGGCCAAUCGUUGUGAGAAGGGGAUUAUCUUCUAAACGCUGCGCUAUGUUCUACAAUCUCGAGAACCUCGGGUCACGGCCUUCCCCUCAAUCAUUUCUACAGCCAACUGCGCAUGCUGCGUCUUAGUAUUCAGCGCUAUAGUAAGAUAUGCAUCGGCUUGCGUUUUCCACUGAACCCUGUUAUUUUGGAGUCCGUCGUACAUCGGGGUAAUUUCUUUGUGAAACCGGGAGAAUUCCUAGAGAUCGUAAACGGA